ACGAACGCUGGCGGCGUGCCUAAUACAUGCAAGUCGAGCGGAAUGAUGAAGAAGCUUGCUUCUUCUGAUUUCAGCGGCGGACGGGUGAGUAACACGUGGGCAACCUACCUUGUAGAUUGGGAUAACUCCGGGAAACCGGGGCUAAUACCGAAUAAUCCAUUUUGCUUCAUGGCGAGAUGUUAAAAGGCGGCUUCGGCUGUCACUACGAGAUGGGCCCGCGGCGCAUUAGCUAGUUGGUAGGGUAAUGGCCUACCAAGGCGACGAUGCGUAGCCGACCUGAGAGGGUGAUCGGCCACACUGGGACUGAGACACGGCCCAGACUCCUACGGGAGGCAGCAGUAGGGAAUCUUCCACAAUGGACGAAAGUCUGAUGGAGCAACGCCGCGUGAGUGAAGAAGGUUUUCGGAUCGUAAAACUCUGUUGUAAGGGAAGAACACGUACGAGAGUAACUGCUCGUACCUUGACGGUACCUUAUUAGAAAGCCACGGCUAACUACGUG
Molecule: ribosomal RNA, 499 nt
Filed under: uncultured bacterium
Lineage: Bacteria
Description: bacterial SSU rRNA
Rfam family: Bacterial small subunit ribosomal RNA
Source: RNAcentral